UGGUUUAUAUGCAUUAGUUUUUUUAUUUGUUAUGUUAAUUAAUAUGUUUUUUUUUUCUUGAUUUGAGUUUACUGGAUAGCUAGGUUAAUGCAUAACAUGAGAUUUUGUUAUAGUUUUGUGGUUAUGUUUGAAGUUUAUUAGCUCUUUGGAUCAUCCACUGAUUUAGCUAGAGAUAGUUUUUGGUAACUUUGUUGUUUGUUUUCUGUGGUGGCUUUAUUUGACUAUUGAUUUUGCUAAGUUAGGUGGAACCAUUGAUAGCCAGGUUAGGCUUUCUGGGUGAAUUGUUUUUCACAUCUUGCAUAAUGUGUGAUUGUGUGCGCGUGUAUGAAUCUAAAGUGAACUUCUUUUUCUUCUUGAAUUAUGGACGAACAUGUACGGGAGGAAGUACCAAAGUAGUGAGGAAAUGAAGCACAGGUACUCGAUUUUCGCUGAAAGUUUGGAGACGAUUAGAUCGCACAACAAGUGGCUAUCCUAUACUCUUGGAGUCAACGGUAGUCGUGUGCACCGGAGAAGUACGAGUUACGAUUGUUGAAGACGUAAGACUGGAAUUAGUAAGUGGAUCAGGCGGGCGUUGGAAGUCUCAUGCUGCGUUGUGAAUAAAGACGUCAUCCAUGGUUUUGAGGUUUGGGUUGGGUGUCUUACUCCUGAACGAGACACGCCUUCCAAACCUUGGUUUUAUUUAAUGUUUUUUGAUGAGUCCUUAGUGAACUCUUAAAACAAUUCGUAUGGUUUGUAAAACUUGUGUUUGAAGUCUACGUUUUAAAACUAUGUUGUUAUGUUGAACUUGUUUAAUAGAUGACAAAUAUAUGGUUUUAUCAUAUAGUUGUUAUUAUGAUUGAA
Long non-coding RNA from Helianthus annuus (common sunflower), 840 nucleotides. RefSeq lists it as uncharacterized. The record is from RefSeq and is a predicted model, not a curated record. The transcript is spliced from 3 exons. Lineage: Eukaryota; Viridiplantae; Streptophyta; Magnoliopsida; Asterales; Asteraceae.